GUCUACGGCCAUACCACCCUGAACGCGCCCGAUCUCGUCUGAUCUCGGAAGCUAAGCAGGGUCGGGCCUGGUUAGUACUUGGAUGGGAGGAAGAAAGAAAAUCUAAACA
RNAcentral lists this ribosomal RNA (109 nucleotides) under Canis lupus familiaris (dog). The record is from RNAcentral. Lineage: Eukaryota; Metazoa; Chordata; Mammalia; Carnivora; Canidae.